GGGUUGACCUCGGAUCAGGUAGGGAUACCCGCUGAACUUAAGCAUAUCAAUAAGCGGAGGAAAAGAAACCAACAGGGAUUGCCCCAGUAACGA
This 93-nucleotide ribosomal RNA is filed under the name Tuber macrosporum. RNAcentral's name for it is "partial 28S ribosomal RNA". It matches the Rfam family "Eukaryotic large subunit ribosomal RNA", at positions 1 to 89 of the family's 3401-position model. Lineage: Eukaryota; Fungi; Ascomycota; Pezizomycetes; Pezizales; Tuberaceae. The record is from RNAcentral.